CCAAUCCAUAGGAAGAGGAGGGCUGCCCAGCAGAGGCUCACUAGCUCUCACCAUCCCCAAACUGAGAUACUGUAAAAUAGGGGGUGUAGUAAGCCACCAGGUUUGGGAAUAGUUUGCUAAAUAAGACUAGUCAGGACAAUGGGUUCAUGCAAGAGGAAGCAGAAUGUGUGUUUUCUGUACUGGAUAUUGCCCUUGAGAGUUAGAGGGUUGCAUUAUGGUCUCCAGGAGAUUAUUAUAUAUGAUCCACACUCCUGAUCAUGAAGUUUUGAAUAUGGUUGCUGUAAAAGAUCUCCAACACAGGUGCCAUUGUAAGAGAUUCCAUAUAUUGUUUUCUGGUAACGCUGAAGUUCAGACAUGAGUGACAAAUUUGGUUUGUGGAACACAAGUAGCAGGUAUUGUUUAUAAUACUUCUAACAACAAUUUUCAACAUUUAGCAAAUAUAUACUAAAGGACAGAAAUCAUGAUGAUUACUUAUGCCAACUGAGUGUUCAAAUGUACUAAAAGCAUUUGAGAUAAUUGAUCUAUGACUUGUUGCAUAGACGCUACUUGAUCAAUGCCCCUCAAGCCCAUCUGUAAUUCUAAUACUUCUUCAUAAUACACAUUUCCCUGGGGUAGGAAGUAAUAAUUCCAUGUAUUCUUGGGGUUUAAACAUGAAUUUGAAGAGACUCAAACUCAUGUUUCUGAUGUUAGAAUUUUUACCAGGUUUCAGAUCUAUAUUUUAGAUAGCAUAAAAACAAACAAUGUUCUAAUAACUCAAACCAAACUUUCCCCCAAAUGACCCAGUGUGCUCCCCAUAUAAUCAUUCAAAUCUAUCAAACUAGAAACUUUGGAGUCACUUUUAUCUCCCCAUUUCCUCAUUCUAUAGAUAAUUAAACUUCAGUUCCUGUGAUUUCUAUCUCGGAACCAUUACUUCUAGCUCGCCUCUUGUCUCUCCUUCCAUGCAAUUAUACCCGCAUCAUCUAUCUCCUGUCCUGGACUGCAAUCUCUCUCUUUCAAGGCAAGCCACUUCAAUAUUCGUUAUUGAAAACUGUCUACGGAAAAACUAAGUCCAGCAAGAAAAAGGUUUCUUUUUAAUGCAAGGCUAGAAAAAGCCAUUUCCCAUCCAAGCCAAAGGCAAUUUUUCUGCAUUGUGAUGUAAUUACUGUGAAAGUGUUGACUUUCUGUUAUAAUAGUUUCUCUAUUAAGGUAUACAGAGCUUACACAGAGUUCAGUGAAUCUCCAAAAAUCAAGCUCCCUGCCAUAACUGCCACACAAAAGAAGAGCAGUCCUGAAGACCCCUUCCAUGUUCCCUCCCCACAGAGGCCCACUCACAGGACUUCUAGUUAGUUAUGAAACAUCUAAAAGCCACGCACAAGACAAAAGAGAGCUGGCUUCUAAUUGCCCUGUUGAAGCAUUUUGGCAACUCCGUCUGUAACUGUCAGAAUUUGAAAGUCAGCAAUUCCCAGAUGUGUGGAAUCGUUAUGUUCAAGGAUUGUGCCGCUGCACUUGCAAAGGCCAAGUAGAUUGUGAACAAAUGAGAGACUAAAUCAGAUAUUUUGCUGGUGUGUGUACCAAACACACCAUUGGGUCUUUUAAAGGUUUUUAUGUGUAUAAUCUAAUCCUGACCACAAUUCUGUAACACAGAAACUUAACAUGUGUUUUAAAGAUUGAAAUGAAUUAAUGCUCAAAAUCACACAGCUGCAACAUGCUAACUGAGGUCAUUUGCUCCCUUAGGUCAGUUCUCAUCAGUAUCUGUCCUUAUCAGGAUUUUUUGUCCUUACUUGAAAAUGUAUUUCCUUUCUCUGUCUGUCUGUCUGUCUGUCUGUCUGUCUGUCUCUCUAACUAACUAACAUUUGGGAAUGGUCAUAUAUAGCUUUGGCUUUUGUUUUGGUUUUGGUUUAUCUUCUUACAGGAGCUCAGGUAGUCCAGGCUGGCCUCCCACUUGCCAGGUAGUAAAGGAUGACCUUGAACUUCUGACAUUCCUCUUUCCUCCUCAGUGCUCGGAUUAUAGAAGUGUACCACCAUUGUUGUUUUAUGUACUGAGGUUGGAAAGCAGGACUUUGUGUAUGGUAGGCAAGAAUCCUACCAACUGAGCUACACCCCAACCCAUUGACGAAUUUGUGCAAUUGAUUGCAAAUGGAUGAUUUGGUCCUCACUAAACAAAAAUCAAGAGACUGUGGCUUCCUGCUGACUUCUGCUGGACUGGUUCCUAUGUCAUUUCUGUGGCUCUUCCUAAGAUGUAUCACUGCAGAUUUCCUCUCAGUAAACACAGAACACACCUCUUUGCAACUGACCAACAGUGAGAAAGUGUCUGCUUCCCCAUGUCCUUAACAGCAUUUGUCAUUAAUUGUUUCCUUGAUCUUAGCCAUUCUGAGGGGGUGAGAUGAAAUCUCAAAGUAGUUUUUAUUUGCAUUUUUCCUAAUUGCUAAUGAUAUAGAAUGCUUUAUAAGACAUUUCUUAGUUGUUUUAAUUUCUUCUUUUGAGAAUUUUCUAUUCAGAUCUAUAACACACACACACACACACACACACACACCACACACACACACACACACACACACACACACAUACACACAAGAUUCUAAUUCUGACUCUCUGGGCUUCCUUUCCACUCAGUUCAUUAUUUCCUUUGCUGUACAGAAUGUCCCUCCUGUCAUUUGCUGGCCUUAAUUCCUGGGCAAAUAGAGUUCUACUUUGAAAGAUCCUUUCUUGUGCCUGCAUCUUGAAAAGCACUAUUUAAAUGCAGUUUCUGCAUUUCAGGUUUAACAUUGUGGGUGGUUUUUUAAAAUAAAUUUUGAGCUAAAUUUUUUACAAGGUGAUAGAUAUGGGUCUAAUUUCAUUCUACAUGUGGACGCCCAAUUUUCUCAUCAUCAUUUGUUGAAGAUGCUGUCUUUUCUCCAGUGUGUGUUUUGACGUCUUUGUUAAAUAUCAGAUGGCUACAAGUAUGUGCACUCCUGAUUGGGUCUUUUAUUUUGUUCCUUUGGUGUAUAUGUGAGUUUUAUGCCAAUACCUUCAUGGUUUUAUUGUUAUAACUCUGCAGUAUAUCUUUAAAUAUGGACCUUGUUUUGUUCAAGGCUGAUUUGGCUCUCUGGAGUCUUUUGUAGUUCCAUAUGCAUUAUAUGAUGCUCUUUGCUGUUUCUAUGAAGAAUGUUGGGGGGACUUUGUAUCUGGAUAUCUACUUUGAUGGUUUUAUGUUUUCCAGGACCCAUAACUAUGAGAGCCAAAGCCAAGCACCACUGUGAAGCAAGGCAUGGAAAAGGUUAACACUUAUUUUGAGGAGGUCCUUUAUUUAUUAGUUCAGCCUUAAGAAAAAGAAAUGGUCAGAAAAAUUUAAGCUAGUCAGAGCACCAAAUAAAUAUUUCUGUGAGGCAAAAGGUAAGUAAUCCAUUUCCCACAUGUUCAAUAGAUAGUAACAUUUCACCUAUGCAGCCUGAAGUUUGGAAGCAUCAGCAGAUGAUGGUUGUGGUGGGGACUUAAUGGUAUAUAAGUGCUGCCUACAAUAACUGUCUCUUUACAUUUUCUAUGGUCUUAGGUAUGCACAGAAAUACAUCAUGGAGGAGGAGAAGGGCUCUUAUUGAAGACUGUGACUUUGGAGAGGGAAUAAGUUUGUUCCAGAAAUAGUCUAAUCCAUGGAUUCACAAAGAAGCCUCCCCAGUGUGGGUGGAGACUGGACACUCUUGAGAAAUGCCUCUUUACUCCUCUUUAUCUAUGCCAAUGCUGUUUAGUGUCCUAUUAACAAUGCAAAAAUAUUAUCAUAUUAUCUGCUGCUCAGGAGACCAACAUGAGUCUUACAUGUCUAAAGGGAAGAUGUUGAUGGAGCUUUAUGUGUUUCUACAGUACUUGGGGCAGGAUCUUAUGCCUUGAAUUGUCUAGCUCAGAGAGAAUGUGUUUAUGUCUUGGCUAGUGGCCUCCCUCAAUUUUCAACACUUUGUCCAUAGUCACUCUUCUCUCAAACUACAGCCUGUAGGGAUGGUUAAGUUGAGUCAUUCAAAACCAUCUAUCUAUCCCAGGGACCUUGAAUCAAUCUGCAAAGGCCCCAGUUAAGGUCAACAUAUCUAUAUAUCUCAGAAAUGAAGAUGUAAAUAAUUUUGGGGAAACAGUGGUCAUUAUUCUACACACAAUAUUCACUCUUUAUCUAGUAUCCUUUAGCUUUCUCUCUUUGAAAACAUUUUCAUAUUUAUGGUGAUAUGUGAAAAAAACAGACAUUUGCUGCAGCCAAAGAUGGCAUAAUUGAUAAAAAGAAACUGAAGAUCUGCACAAGUUUCUGUGAUUUAGAAGUAGGAACUUGAGAAGCUUGAAAAAUCCUGACUGUAGAUCAGCUGUAACCCACAGACAGAUAGAAAAUGAAGGAAGGCCAAGAGCCAAGUGUUUCUUAGUAAGGGAGAGCCAUCAGGAGCCCUGGAAGGGGAAGAAUAAACUCGUCUGAGCCCUGUUCUUGGACUCUGAGUUGCUGGGGGCUAAAGCAGUCUACUUUGCUUUGUGGAUGGUGAGUUGUAAUUUCAUGGUGGUCCUCUAUACUUAGAAGCUUGACCUCCAGAGUAACACCUAGAGGGCAAUGAAAGGAGGUUUGAAUUAUGGAGAAGCCAAAUCUCUGUUUUCUUUUUUCAAGCUUAUGUCUCCAAACCACACUAAUAAAAUCAUCAUGUACACUCUGGAGUAUUCAAUACUAAGCACAUCGUCAUGCAUACACACAGAGAGAAUAGAGUUAGAUGAGUCCAUAAGAGGUCCCUACUCAUUGUCAUACUUCCUGGGCAUUUUAUGUCUUUUACUAUCCUCAUUUUGUUAUGAGUUAAAUAUCAGUAGAUUUCUAUUUUACAGAUAAAUCUCAAGAAAUACAUUUGAGAAGUAGCAGUGAAAGACUUGAAUUGCAGUCUCCAAAGCCCUAAUUUCCUCUUUGGCCACAAUGAGUAGGCAACAAAGCAUAUGUCGGUGACAUAUUUGCCAUGUUUUGAAACAAAGAGUGGCUUCCAGGAACUGAACUCAGGUCUCCAGGCUUACUCAGCAAAUACUUUUGCUUGCUGAGAAAUCUUACUGGUUCCAUGUUAAAUGUAAAGAUGGCAAGAAGAAACCAGGAGGACUGCCACAAGUUCAGCUAUCAAGAAGGAUGGAAUUCUGUCAGCUUCAGGAAUUUAGGAAUUUGGAUGGAUGCUGAGACCAUUAAAUUCAGUAAAAUUAGCCAGAAUCAGAAAGAUCACAUCUGUCACAGGGUGGCUCAUUUGUACCCCCAAUGGAUAAUUCUGCUAUGGCAUCGAUGAGAGAGCAGACGAAGGAAGUGUUGGAAAACAGACAGAAGAUGAGAGAAGCAAUGGAGAAAAAGAGGAAGAAAUUUAUUUUUUAGAGCAGAUACACAAUUUAGUCAGUUCCAACAAAUAUCACUGGAAGUACUAAAAUAAAUCAU
Molecule: non-coding RNA, 5374 nt
Organism: Peromyscus maniculatus bairdii (prairie deer mouse)
Lineage: Eukaryota; Metazoa; Chordata; Mammalia; Rodentia; Cricetidae
Source: RefSeq, a predicted model, not a curated record